UGCCAGCAGCCGCGGUAAUACGAAGGGGGCUAGCGUUGUUCGGAAUUACUGGGCGUAAAGCGCACGUAGGCGGACUUUUAAGUCAGAUGUGAAAUCCCGGGGCUCAACCUCGGAACCGCAUUUGAAACUGGAAGUCUGGAGUUCAGGAGAGGUUAGCGGAAUACCGAGUGUAGAGGUGAAAUCCGUAGAUAUUCGGAAGAACACCAGUGGCGAAGGCGGCUCACUGGCUCGAUACUGACGCUGAGGUGCGAAGGCGUGGGGAGCAAACAGGAUUAGAUA
Molecule: ribosomal RNA, 279 nt
Filed under: uncultured bacterium
Lineage: Bacteria
Description: partial 16S ribosomal RNA
Rfam family: Bacterial small subunit ribosomal RNA
Source: RNAcentral